UGUUUUCCAGUUUCCAGAGUCGGGGUCGUCCCAAAACUUCGUUGCGCUGAGCGUAGAAUCUCGCCUCAAACAAAACUACGUAGCUUCUAAUUCCCACCUUUCAUCCCUGAAUUCGAUUUCAUCUUCGUCUUCUCCUCUGGUUUCGAUCAAACCCGUCCGAGCGCAGGGUUUGUUUCUCGAGGCGGUGUCGGUAAGGGAGAAGAGCGAAAUUGAAAAGACGGGGGGAGAAACAAACCCUAAACAAUGCUUCUAAGGUUUCGAAUUCGGACAACAUCUACUACUACAAUCAGCUGAACGUGACUCUUGCAUCGAAAGGAGAUGACCGAUAACAAUGGCAAACCGGAUAAGGGUAAUCAAUGGCAAUCGUCAACACCACCGCAUCAAGAGAAAGCGGAGGACUUGAAACUCUGGGCAAUUCUACUUUUCGGUUUAAUCGGUGCCUCUGCCACCACUCUCGCCAUUGGUCAUCUGCGGAGAACUGGUGAUUGGGUAUAUACUCAGUUGAGCAGGUCACAAUCAUCACAGGGUGGAGGAAGUGGUCGUUCUUUCCGGUCAUCGUUUCAGGAGGAAGCAUGGAAAAGGUAUAAUCGUAGGCUGCAAGAGGAAUAUGAAGAAGAAAUGGAGAGGGUGGAGCGCAUAAGGCGCAUGCAGAAUGUAUUCAACAGAGAGAGGAACAAACACAAGAGAGGCUACGAAAGGUGGGGAGAGAAUGGUGGUGGUGCGUUUCAUCAACAUCACCAGCGAGAUGAUUGGUAUUGGAAAGCCGAGACGUUCUACAGAGAACAAAGUAAUAACUAUAAGGAAACUCCAAGAGACAGAACAAGCUACUUGCUAUCGCAUCAUUAUACAGUUUUGGGUCUCAACAGGUGUCGAAAAACACCUUAUACAGAUGCUGAGAUUAAGACAGCAUUCCAAUCCAAGGCGAAGCAGUUUCAUCCAGAUCAGAACCAGGAUAAUAAAGAGGCUGCUGAGGCAAAGUUCAAAGAGGUGAUGACAUCUUAUGAGGCCAUAAAGUUAGAAAGAAAGAGCGGUUGAGCAUAAGACUUGACCACACCUCUAGUCGACGGGUCAGAGUUUCAGCACACCAUUUUAACAGUACGACAUAUUUGUGGUUUUUUUGUUGAAAUUCCCCCUCGUUAAUCGUGUAAAUUAUUAAGAGGAAUUGAGUUUCUUGUAGUGUUAUGGCAACAUUAAAGUGGGUAUUAAUAUGAAGGGUUAAAAUAUUGAUGUUGGACUACGAA
Cucurbita moschata (crookneck pumpkin) is the source of this 1241-nucleotide RNA transcript. RefSeq lists it as uncharacterized. The record is from RefSeq and is a predicted model, not a curated record. Lineage: Eukaryota; Viridiplantae; Streptophyta; Magnoliopsida; Cucurbitales; Cucurbitaceae. The transcript is spliced from 8 exons.